Corapipo altera (White-ruffed manakin) is the source of this 202-nucleotide long non-coding RNA. RefSeq lists it as uncharacterized. NCBI's taxonomy places the organism in Eukaryota, Metazoa, Chordata, Aves, Passeriformes, Pipridae. The record is from RefSeq and is a predicted model, not a curated record. The transcript has 3 exons.
CCCGUGAUGCUCCUCCCCGACGACUUCAAGGCCAGUUCCAAAAUCAAGGUCAACAACCACCUGUUCAACAGGGAGAACCUGCCCGGCCACUUCAAGUUCAAGGAGUACUGUCCCCAGGUGUUCCGCAACCUGCGCGAGAGGUUCGGCAUCGACGACCAGGACUAUCAGGUGUCCCUGGCCCACAUCCCCCCGUUGGUCCCAC